This 2099-nucleotide long non-coding RNA is filed under the name Mus musculus (house mouse). RNAcentral describes it as "long non-coding RNA chr7:27583647-27585746". The record is from RNAcentral. Lineage: Eukaryota; Metazoa; Chordata; Mammalia; Rodentia; Muridae.
GCUUAUGAGGACACCGGGCAUGCACACGGGGCAUAGACAUUCAUGUAGACAAAACAGCCAUACACAUGUAAUGUAUGUGUAUACAUUGUAUACAUCUAUACAUAUAAACAAUUUUUUUAUGUAAAAGAUAAAGGGAGAAGAACUCCAAGUGAACCUUUUUUCCCUUCUCUCAUAUGUCACAUCCUGAUCUGUUUCCCCUCCACUCUCUUCAGUUCUACCUUCCCUGUCCCCCAGAUCCACUUUCCUCCAUUCCCUUACAAUAAAAAAUAAAAAAGACAGGCACCCCAAGGGAUAUCAGCUGAACAUGGCAUAACCAAUUACAGUAAGACAAACAAAAGACAGGCGCUCAUGCCAAGGCUGGAUGGGGCAACCCAGGCAAAAGAGGCAGAGACACCCCCUACUCCCACGGUUAGGAGCCCCCAGGAACACCUAGCUACAUAAACAUAAGGUAUAUGAAGAGGACCUAGCUGAGACCCAUAUAAUAUCUGUGUCCGUUGCUUCAGUCUCUGAGUCCCUAUGAGCCCUGGUUAGUUGAUUCUGUGGGCCAUGUUCUCUUGGUGUCCUCCACCCCUCUGGCUCCUACAAUCCUUCCUCCCUCUUUUCUGAGGAAUUCCUCUGACUCUGCCUAGUGAUUGGCUGUGGGCCGUUGCAUCUGCUCAUCAGUUGCCGGAUGAAGCCUGUCUGGUGACAGUUGGGCUAGGCACCAAUCUGUGAGUAUAACUGACUAUCAUUAGGAAUUAUUUCAUUGACCUCUGCUGUGCCUCCCCCACCCCACAAUUGUGUUUGGUUCUGUCCUCAGUCUCUGAUGGUUUGAUCUUCAAGAUCUUCAACCACUACCCCAUGUCACCAUUAUAGCUUUCUUUUUCUUUCUUUCCUUCUUUCCUCUUUUCUUUCUCUCUCUGUCUCUCUCUCUCUCCCUUCCUUCCUUCCUUCCUUCCUUCCUUCCUUCCUUCCUCUCUCUCUCUCUCUUUCUUUCUUUCUUUUUUUCGUCCUUUCCCUCUCUCCCUCUCUCCCUCCCUCUCUCCCUCCCUCCCUCCUUUCUCUCUCUCUCUCUCUCUCUCUUUCUUUCUUGUUGUUUGUUUUUUAAACCAGGUGUCAAGAUUCCCAGACCUCAAACUUUGCAUGUAAGCAGAGCAUGGCUUUGAACUCCUUGAUCCUCCAGCUACAACCAGAAUGGUUGAGAUUAUAGGCCUGCCGCCCUCACAUCUGGUUUCUGUGAUGCUGGCAUCAUAGCUCCAGGCAUGCCUACUACCAACCGAGCCACAACCCCAGCCCUUCCAUUUUGGAUGUGAAACCUGGCAAGGGGCCCGCCCAGGAAGGCAGCGUCCUAGGCAACUGCUUCUGUUACUGCUGUCUGCCUUGUUUUCUUCUUCCUUAUUUACGUGUGCAUGUCCCCUUGUUGAGGAUGAAGAGGGGAGUAUUUCCUCCUGCAUUGCUUCCUAACCCGACGGCAACUGCAGCCUCAGUUCUUAGGCUCCUAAAGGAGCAGCCCACGGAUGCAGCCAUCAGCCAGUCAAGUUUGUUUAAGUAGGUAAGUGAGCAAAACCAGCAUUCUCCCGAACGGAGGGCCAACUUCAAAGUCUGGGUCCACCAUUUCUCUUUCCUUGCCCCUAGUGGCUGUCUUCUUAGAAGGUAUCUUUAUCCAGUAUUCAGUCUGUUAGAAUUGAAUGCAAGAAGAGUUACAAGGAUGUAAAUAGCAUGAGGGUGAGGAGUUUAUAGGUGCUUGGUAUGAGGUCCCACCGUGGGGAAUAGUUUCUUGGGAGUUGGCCAGAAUCAGCUGAGAUAGACUUUGUCCUUUGACUAGAGUCCUGUCCUCAUCUGUCAAACUGGAUUGUCUUCGCUUGUGACCUUGAUAUGCCUUUUAACCUGGUUUUAACUGUGAGACCCACUGCACCGUCAACCUGCCUCUAAAUACUUUGCCGCUCUUUUUGGUUGGUUUACGUUUUAAUUAUUUCGCUGGGCAACGGUGGUGCAUGCCUUUAAUACUACUACUGGAAAGGCAGAGAGAGGGGCAAGUGAAUCUCUCAAGUUUGAGGCCAGCCUGGUCUACAAAGUGAGUUCCAGAGCAGCCAGGACGUUACUCAGAGAAGCCCUGUUUC